RNAcentral lists this ribosomal RNA (1351 nucleotides) under metagenome. RNAcentral's name for it is "bacterial LSU rRNA". It matches the Rfam family "Bacterial large subunit ribosomal RNA", at positions 1573 to 2916 of the family's 2925-position model. The record is from RNAcentral.
UUCUUUUAGAUGACGAAGUGGUUGAUGCCAUGCUUCAAGAAAAGCUUCUAAGCUUCAGGUAACCAGGAACCGUACCCCAAACCGACACAGGUGGUCGGGUAGAGAAUACCAAGGCGCUUGAGAGAACUCGGGUGAAGGAACUAGGCAAAAUGGCACCGUAACUUCGGGAGAAGGUGCGCCGGCUAGGGUGAAGGAUUUACUCCGUAAGCUCUGGCUGGUCGAAGAUACCAGGCCGCUGCGACUGUUUAUUAAAACACAGCACUCUGCAAACACGAAAGUGGACGUAUAGGGUGUGACGCCUGCCCGGUGCCGGAAGGUUAAUUGAUGGGGUUAGCGCAAGCGAAGCUCUUGAUCGAAGCCCCGGUAAACGGCGGCCGUAACUAUAACGGUCCUAAGGUAGUGAAAUUCCUUGUCGGGUAAGUUCCGACCUGCACGAAUGGCGUAACGAUGGCGGCGCUGUCUCCACCGAGACUCAGUGAAAUUGAAAUCGCUGUGAAGAUGCAGUGUAUCCGCGGCUAGACGGAAGACCCGUGAACCUUUACUGUAGCUUUGCACUGGACUUUGAGCCUGCUUGUGGGAUAGGUGGGGCUUUGAAGCGUGGACGCCAGUUCGCGUGGAGCCAUCCUUGAAAUACCACCCUGGCAUGCUUGAGGUUCUAACUCUGGUCCGUAAUCCGGAUCGAGGACAGUGUAUGGUGGGCAGUUUGACUGGGGCGGUCUCCUCCUAAAGAGUAACGGAGGAGUACGAAGGUGCGCUCAGACCGGUCGGAAAUCGGUCGCAGAGUAUAAAGGUAAAAGCGCGCUUGACUGCGAGACAGACACGUCGAGCAGGUACNNAANUAGUCUUAGUGAUCCGGUGGUUCUGUAUGGAAGGGCCAUCGCUCAACGGAUAAAAGGUACUCCGGGGAUAACAGGCUGAUACCGCCCAAGAGUUCAUAUCGACGGCGGUGUUUGGCACCUCGAUGUCGGCUCAUCACAUCCUGGGGCUGAAGCCGGUCCCAAGGGUAUGGCUGUUCGCCAUUUAAAGUGGUACGCGAGCUGGGUUUAGAACGUCGUGAGACAGUUCGGUCCCUAUCUGCCGUGGACGUUUGAGAUUUGAGAGGGCUGCUCCUGGUACGAGAGGACCGGAGUGGACGAACCUCUGGUGUUCCGGUUGUCACGCCAGUGGCAUUGCCGGGUAGCUAUGUUCGGAAAAGAUAACCGCUGAAAGCAUCUAAGCGGGAAACUUGCCUCAAGAUGAGAUCUCACUGGGAACUUGAUUCCUGAAGGGCCGUCGAAGACUACGACGUUGAUAGGCUGGGUGUGUAAGCGUUGUGAGGCGUUGAGCUAACCAGUACUAAUUGCCCGUGAGG